Molecule: ribosomal RNA, 774 nt
Filed under: uncultured Neocallimastigales
Lineage: Eukaryota; Fungi; Neocallimastigomycota; Neocallimastigomycetes; Neocallimastigales
Description: partial large subunit ribosomal RNA
Rfam family: Eukaryotic large subunit ribosomal RNA
Source: RNAcentral
ACACUGACGUCGCGACGCAUAUCAAUAAGCGGAGGAAAAGAAACUAACAAGGAUUCCCUUAGUAACGGCGAGUGAAGCGGGAAGAGCUCAAAUUUGAAAUCUUCAAGGUUUUACCUUGACGAAUUGUAGUUUAAAGAAGUGUUUUUUGUUGAAGUUUUGGUAAAAGUUCUUUGGAAUAGGACAUCAUAGAGGGUGAGAAUCCCGUAUUUGACCAUUAUUUUCAGCUGUGUGAUACACUUUCAAAGAGUCGGAUUGUUUGGGAAUGCAGUCCAAAAUGGGUGGUAAAUUUCAUCUAAAGCUAAAUAUUGGCGAGAGACCGAUAGCGAACAAGUACCGUGAGGGAAAGAUGAAAAGAACUUUGAAAAGAGAGUUAAACAGUACGUGAAAUUGUCAAAAGGGAAGCGUUUGACACCAGUGUUGUUUUUCCGAAAAUCAAUUAUAAAUGUUUUGUUUCUGAGGAGUGAUGACUUCAUCGGCUUCCUUCUCUCUUCACGAAACUUUUGUAAUGCACUUUUCGGUUAACAAGUCAACAUCAAUUUCUUUUGUUGUAAAAGAGUAUUCGGAAGGUGGCUUUCUUUUCGGAGAAAGUGUUUAUAGCCCUAUACUUCUACAAUCGGAGAGAUUGAGGUCUGCAGCGUAGAUCCUUCGGGGUUAGAUACACUUGUGCUAAGUUAUAGCUUUUCAUAGACAACUUGUUGACUAUGUUUAGUCUUGUAGCUUACUCGCUUGUGCUAUUUUACCUACGCUUAGGAUGUUGAGUCGUAGAGCACGCAG